GGGGCUGUUACUGGUUUCGACGAAAACUUUAAGAGCUUAAGUGGCAAGUGGGUGGCGAUCCUUAUACGCAAACAAAAAUAAAUAACAAAACAAAUAAUUAUGCUUUCGCAGCUUGCGCUGCCUAGUCUUUUUUAACAGAGAAAGCGCUUCUUUUUAAGUUUUACUCACGGACUUUUAAAGAGGCUCAUUUUAGUGAGUUAUAUUAUUCUUUUUGUUUAGGAAAGAGUAACGAAUAUUACUAAACUCGUUAUUUGAUGGGUGUGUUAACCAUCUUUAUCAUUUAAUUAAAAUUAAUUGUUAACUAAACUUGUAGAAGCUUAAGUAGCUUGGUUUUCGGACACGAGUUCGAAUCUCGUCAGCUCCACCA
RNAcentral lists this transfer-messenger RNA (367 nucleotides) under pig gut metagenome. It matches the Rfam family "transfer-messenger RNA". Rfam says of the family: Bacterial tmRNA, also known as 10Sa RNA or SsrA, is named for its dual tRNA and mRNA-like properties. Its role is to liberate the mRNA from a stalled ribosome. The record is from RNAcentral.